Long non-coding RNA from Bombus terrestris (buff-tailed bumblebee), 1567 nucleotides. RefSeq lists it as uncharacterized. The record is from RefSeq and is a predicted model, not a curated record. The transcript has 3 exons. Lineage: Eukaryota; Metazoa; Arthropoda; Insecta; Hymenoptera; Apidae.
CUACAGCAGCCAGAAACUUCCGCCUCGCGCGUAUCCAAGGCUCUUAAAGGUAGAGGUCAGACGUUCAAAUCGUUCUUUGGUGGUAUUUGAGCAAGGAAUCGUUUCACGCACGAUGUUUGUCAGAGAAACAUAUAUCGUUAACUAAUAUAUCAUAAAAGCGCGAAGUCUGCCAAUCAUGCAAGGACACCGCAUUUCGAGAUUCGAAUUGGCAAUUAGACAGAUUCAAGAUUCGCUUCUUCCGGUUGUGGAUCUCCCUAAGCAACGAUUGGUCACGAUUAAUAUGCGUUUCGAAUCGUGCAGGGAAUCGGAGGAAUACAAAAAAUUAUCCUUCGUUUAAAAGUUAAUGGGUCGCCCAACAUAAAGGAAACAUUAAAAUUCGAAUGGGACAAUGAACAGUGACGAUAUUAAGUUUUACGAAAAUUAGAACAUCUAUAGAUACGUAUAUCGUAAUUAGCAAUUUGGGAAUCAACUUUCUUGUUAUUUCUCGUUUCAAAUUGCGUGUUUUCCAACCUGCAUAAAUAUUGGGCGAGUGAAUACUGGAGAGACUAGAGGCGAGACUGACAUUGAAUAAUAUGAAUUUAAAGAUAAUGACACUUAAAGUAUAUACGUAUGAUCAAUGUGGCACGAGAGUCAACGUUUACCGAUUUAAUUAUCUAAAAUCAAAAUUUGACAAUUUUUAAGUAACUUCACGGAUCUAUACGACCCAAAAUGAAAAUUCUAUUACAUGAAUAUUAUUAAAAUAUAGAUAGCGCUGAAAUGGUUUUAGUAUUCAAUAUAUCCAAAUAUUACUACUUGUUGUGUAUACCAUGCUUUUUGUGACGAAGGUAUCACAAAAUGUGACAAUGAAAAGAUAUCUAAAGGAAUGCAAAUGUGAAGGGACGAGGAGAAUAGCAGAGUUCGAAUCGAAAAAAGAUCGAAUCGAAUCGCAAUUUUUCAAGUUCGAAACCAACAAUGGGAGUUUGUACAACGACGAAGACCACCCAGCAGGCAAACCUAAGUACCUAAGUACACGCCUUAAAGAAGCGCGACGCGAUGGAGUAGAACGUGAAUCGAAGUCAAAUCGACUGCUCACGUGGUUCGUGAUUCACGGGACAAAACAGCGUGUGAGAGGAAGACCUUAAAGACAACGUCAACAGAGGGAAAUGUCUUAGCCGAGGAGAGUACUGUUACGAGUUGAUCGGUUGGUUCAGUGACAAGAGAAAAUAUCAUUGUUAUAUUUAUCGGGAGCAGUUUUAUGCCGCGCUACGAAUUCCUACGAGAUAAACACACGAAGUAAUAUAUAUUGCGCUCGCGAGUAUUCAAUAAGAAACAACUUUGUCUACGCGUGUGCAUAUCUUUUUCGGAGCAAUUAUAUCUAAGCACGAUAUCGUGCAGCGAUAAGGUUCGUAUCACUUGGUUCACUCAUAUUGCUUGAAGUAAUCGCGCGUUAUUUGCUACCGAGUAAUUGCGAGAUAAGACACUGGCCCAGAAAUGUAUAAUAGCGACGAGCUUGACUUUUUCAUUUUUAUUAACGACGAUUACAAUUGCAUCACCUGUAACGCAUACGAGUAAUUAAAGGGUGAAUAGA